This is a long non-coding RNA of Larimichthys crocea (large yellow croaker), 886 nucleotides long. RefSeq lists it as uncharacterized. The transcript has 3 exons. Lineage: Eukaryota; Metazoa; Chordata; Actinopteri; Sciaenidae. The record is from RefSeq and is a predicted model, not a curated record.
AGGAGACCAGCAGGAGAACAAGAGGAGACCAGGAGGAGACCAGGAGGAGACCACAAACAAAAGAAAACAACCGUGAUGAACCGGAACCGGAAACACUGAAAGCAGGAAGAUCGAGUCAGUGGUCGAGUGACGUAGAGAAUCAAUGAGAAGAGGGAGUGACUUUUUCACAGCGACCAGCUGACUGGACGGAGACAACAGAAACAUGCAGUGAAGUAUCAGGUGUCCCUACAGCUGAUUAAAGGAGCAUUCUGAUGAUUUAAGAUCUUUUAAUCUGCUGCUCUCCUCCUCCUGAUGCACGUGAGUCAUUUGUCACUCUGCUCUGUGGGCGUUUGAAAAAACUGACUCGCUGCUGAAGCCAAAAGAAAGUGAGAAAGAAGAUCCAGUCCAUCCAAAUGAAAACCCUGAACUGGGAGGCAGGCAGUCAGUGACUGAAGACUGGGGAGACCUGUGUAACCAGUCCCUCUACCUGUGUAACCAGUCCCUUUACCUGUGUAACCAGUCCCUUUACCUGUGUAACCAGUCCCUUUACCUGUGUAACCUGUGUGACUGUACCCCUGUUAAUCACCUGUUUAAAGGUCUACCUCGGUGAGAAGCUGAGCCAAGUGUUUGAUGACCUCCAAUGAGAGAAUGUUAAACUUUUCAAAAACUUUUUUAAACCAACUGUCCCAUUCAUGUCUUUCACAUAAAUCUAAUACAGUGAUUAUUAAUCAUAAAUAAUAUGGAUAUAUCACAUUCAUUAGCAGUAAUUAAGUGUGUAAACAGCUCUGAACAAAGACACGUCUCAAUUCAAGGUUUGUGAUUCACCUGCCCAGGUGUAGCCUGCCCGUUCCAGAGUGCAUGGUGGGAUAGACUGCAGUGAACAAAGACAUGUUGGAUGGUUGGACAA